RNAcentral lists this ribosomal RNA (253 nucleotides) under uncultured bacterium. RNAcentral's name for it is "partial 16S ribosomal RNA". It matches the Rfam family "Bacterial small subunit ribosomal RNA", at positions 524 to 776 of the family's 1533-position model. The record is from RNAcentral.
UACGUAGGGGGCAAGCGUUGUCCGGAUUUAUUGGGCGUAAAGAGCGUGUAGGCGGCUUUACAGGUCCGUUGUGAAAACUCGAGGCUCAACCUCGAGACUCCGGUGGAAACCGUAAAGCUAGAGUCCGGAAGAGGAGAGUGGAAUUCCUGGUGUAGCGGUGAAAUGCGCAGAUAUCAGGAAGAACACCCGUGGCGAAGGCGGCUCUCUGGGACGGUACUGACGCUGAGAAGCGAAAGCGUGGGGAGCAAACAGG